AGACUCUGGUUUCUCUUCAUUGCGCACAAAAGCUUUUGCCUUUUACUAAAGACUUCCGUGGAGAGGAACACUUACGAGUUCAACGUAUUUUUGGAGGUGCGUUUUGCUUCUUGCAGAGCC
Molecule: small nuclear RNA, 120 nt
Organism: Oncorhynchus gorbuscha (pink salmon)
Lineage: Eukaryota; Metazoa; Chordata; Actinopteri; Salmoniformes; Salmonidae
Product: U5 spliceosomal RNA
Exons: 1
Source: RefSeq, a predicted model, not a curated record